Molecule: transfer RNA, 73 nt
Rfam family: tRNA
About the family: Transfer RNA (tRNA) molecules are approximately 80 nucleotides in length. Their secondary structure includes four short double-helical elements and three loops (D, anti-codon, and T loops).
AGCCCCGUAGGGUAGAGGCCAAUCCUUUCGGACUUUGGAUCCGAAGACCCAGGUUCGAAUCCUGGCGGGGCUA